AACCUCAGAUCAAGUAGGAUUACCCGCUGAACUUAAG
This 37-nucleotide ribosomal RNA is filed under the name Geotrichum candidum. Its description in RNAcentral is "partial 26S ribosomal RNA". Lineage: Eukaryota; Fungi; Ascomycota; Dipodascomycetes; Dipodascales; Dipodascaceae. The record is from RNAcentral.